RNAcentral lists this ribosomal RNA (1370 nucleotides) under uncultured bacterium. Its description in RNAcentral is "bacterial SSU rRNA". It matches the Rfam family "Bacterial small subunit ribosomal RNA". The record is from RNAcentral.
AGAGUUUGAUUCUGGCUCAGAACGAACGCUGGCGGCGUGGAUAAGACAUGCAAGUCGAACGAGAGAAUUGCUAGCUUGCUAAUAAUUCUCUAGUGGCGCACGGGUGAGUAACACGUGAGUAACCUGCCCCCGAGAGCGGGAUAGCCCUGGGAAACUGGGAUUAAUACCGCAUAGUAUCGAAAGAUUAAAGCAGCAAUGCGCUUGGGGAUGGGCUCGCGGCCUAUUAGUUAGUUGGUGAGGUAACGGCUCACCAAGGCGAUGACGGGUAGCCGGUCUGAGAGGAUGUCCGGCCACACUGGAACUGAGACACGGUCCAGACACCUACGGGUGGCAGCAGUCGAGAAUCAUUCACAAUGGGGGAAACCCUGAUGGUGCGACGCCGCGUGGGGGAAUGAAGGUCUUCGGAUUGUAAACCCCUGUCAUGUGGGAGCAAAUUAAAAAGAUAGUACCACAAGAGGAAGAGACGGCUAACUCUGUGCCAGCAGCCGCGGUAAUACAGAGGUCUCAAGCGUUGUUCGGAAUCACUGGGCGUAAAGCGUGCGUAGGCUGUUUCGUAAGUCGUGUGUGAAAGGCGCGGGCUCAACCCGCGGACGGCACAUGAUACUGCGAGACUAGAGUAAUGGAGGGGGAACCGGAAUUCUCGGUGUAGCAGUGAAAUGCGUAGAUAUCGAGAGGAACACUCGUGGCGAAGGCGGGUUCCUGGACAUUAACUGACGCUGAGGCACGAAGGCCAGGGGAGCGAAAGGGAUUAGAUACCCCUGUAGUCCUGGCAGUAAACGGUGCACGCUUGGUGUGCGGGGAAUCGACCCCCUGCGUGCCGGAGCUAACGCGUUAAGCGUGCCGCCUGGGGAGUACGGUCGCAAGAUUAAAACUCAAAGAAAUUGACGGGGACCCGCACAAGCGGUGGAGUAUGUGGCUUAAUUCGAUGCAACGCGAAGAACCUUACCUGGGCUUGACAUGUAAUGAACAACAUGUGAAAGCAUGCGACUCUUCGGAGGCGUUACACAGGUGCUGCAUGGCCGUCGUCAGCUCGUGUCGUGAGAUGUUUGGUUAAGUCCAGCAACGAGCGCAACCCCUGUUGCCAGUUACCAGCACGUGAAGGUGGGGACUCUGGCGAGACUGCCCAGAUCAACUGGGAGGAAGGUGGGGACGACGUCAGGUCAGUAUGGCCCUUAUGCCCAGGGCUGCACACGUACUACAAUGCCCAGUACAGAGGGGGCCGAAGCCGCGAGGCGGAGGAAAUCCUAAAAACUGGGCCCAGUUCGGACUGUAGGCUGCAACCCGCCUACACGAAGCCGGAAUCGCUAGUAAUGGCGCAUCAGCUACGGCGCCGUGAAUACGUAGCCGGGUCUUGCACUCACCGCCCGUCA